This is a long non-coding RNA of Cryptotermes secundus, 1054 nucleotides long. RefSeq lists it as uncharacterized. Lineage: Eukaryota; Metazoa; Arthropoda; Insecta; Blattodea; Kalotermitidae. The record is from RefSeq and is a predicted model, not a curated record. The transcript is spliced from 4 exons.
UAAUAAAAUAAAUAAAAAUAAAUAAAUAAAUAAAAUAAAUGUCACGUGCAUUUAAUGAAUACAGUAAGUCAUCGCUUAACGUCGAUUUUUAACUGAGCUGAUGCUGUUUUCAUACAAUGGCUCCACACAACGUCCUGUUAUCUGGUUACUGCGUCGUCGUUCAAGUGUUACUAGGAAUACUACGUCACAGCGAUUUCCGCGUGUCGCAGUGAAAACCGGCGUGUAGCUUCAGUCUCCACACUCGCUCGCUUCCCUUGGGCCAUCGGUGAACACAAUAAAAGAGAUUCAAUAUUCAUGUACCAGGUACUGUGGAAGUGCAGCCCUGCUUCGAACCCAGGAUACGCAUUGGUAUAUACACACAGUUGUAAGAUUCAACGUGAGCCAACGCUGAACUAAGCUACAACAUAUGACGACCACAGAGAAGAGCCAAUAUUCCUCUUCAGUACGCCAAGCGCGGCAAGGGACAUUCGGUUUCACGACUUUCUACUGCAUGAGAUGCGAAAGAAGAUCGACAGAACAGGACGAGAUGCGUGGGACAUGCAAUUCAUACGGAGGAAAUGGUAAAUGCACGUAUGAUUUCUGCCGGAACCACCAAGAGUUUCCAAAUUGGUUUUCGACCCUCAAAACAACAUACAACAUAACUUGGUCUGGUGAGCAUCAUCAUCCUGAUGAAACAUCAACAUCCGACCGGAAGUGGAUACAAUAUAUACGUCGAUUGUGAAAAUGCAGAGACCAUGAACAAAUUAUGGUUACAUUCUUAUCUGUAAGAUCUUACUGGACCGCUUCAAUGACAACUUUGGAAGGGACUGUAAAGCCUAAGUUAUGUAACUUGGUGCGUGUUGCUACUUAUGAAUGAAGCUCACUACAAAAUGCGCUCUUAUAUUUAUGCAACCCGCAGUCUUUUGCUAGGAACUUCAGCACUAGCGUGAGGCGGAGUAAAUUGUGAAUGCGAAAUAAAAAUCAUAGUUUCACUCAUCAGUUGGAGUACUCGCAUGUGCGUUCAGAACAGUAACACAGGAAUCUCUUACAGCUGUACAACUUGUAACAUGCCGUA